Molecule: non-coding RNA, 205 nt
Organism: Oryza glumipatula
Lineage: Eukaryota; Viridiplantae; Streptophyta; Magnoliopsida; Poales; Poaceae
Source: Rfam
UUUAAGUGCAAUCAUGAGUUUCUGCGCUCAAUUUUGAUCGUUCGUUUUAUUUGUAAUUUUUUUAUAAUUAGUAUUUUUGUUGUUAUGAGAUGAUAAAAUAUGAAUAGUACUUUACUCGUGACUUAUGGUUUUUAGGAUUUUUGAAAAAAAUUGAAAUAAGACGGGCGAUCAAAGUUAGACGCGUAAAACCAUGGCUAUACUUAAA